RNAcentral lists this transfer RNA (89 nucleotides) under Bacteroidota bacterium. RNAcentral describes it as "tRNA-Ser". It matches the Rfam family "tRNA". Rfam says of the family: Transfer RNA (tRNA) molecules are approximately 80 nucleotides in length. Their secondary structure includes four short double-helical elements and three loops (D, anti-codon, and T loops). The record is from RNAcentral. Lineage: Bacteria; Pseudomonadati; Bacteroidota. RNAcentral also lists the same sequence under 1 other name.
GGAGAGGUGGCCGAGUGGCUGAAGGCGGCGGUUUGCUAAACCGUUAUAGGGGUAACACUCUAUCGGGGGUUCGAAUCCCCCCCUCUCCG